Molecule: ribosomal RNA, 253 nt
Filed under: uncultured bacterium
Lineage: Bacteria
Description: partial 16S ribosomal RNA
Rfam family: Bacterial small subunit ribosomal RNA
Source: RNAcentral
UACGUAGGGGGCAAGCGUUAUCCGGAUUUACUGGGUGUAAAGGGAGCGUAGACGGUAUGGCAAGUCUGAAGUGAAAGCCCAGGGCUUAACCCUGGGACUGCUUUGGAAACUGUUAGACUAGAGUGCUGGAGAGGUAAGUGGAAUUCCUAGCGUAGCGGUGAAAUGCGUAGAUAUUAGGAGGAACACCAGUGGCGAAGGCGGCUUACUGGACAGUAACUGACGUUGAGGCUCGAAAGCGUGGGGAGCAAACAGG